Panicum virgatum (switchgrass) is the source of this 747-nucleotide long non-coding RNA. RefSeq lists it as uncharacterized. The record is from RefSeq and is a predicted model, not a curated record. The transcript has 3 exons. Lineage: Eukaryota; Viridiplantae; Streptophyta; Magnoliopsida; Poales; Poaceae.
CGGUCUGCACAAUAUGAGGGCCAAAAAUUGAGCCCAAUUCCAGCGGGCCCCUCAAUUCUCGGCCUGCAAAUCAGCAGAUCCCACCUGUCAGGCAAACAAACCAUUCGAUCUCGCCGCCGUUGCAUCUCGCGAGUCCGCCGCCCCUGGUCGCCGCUGCCCACGCCCGGCUUCCGUGUGCCAGCCGCGCCAUCGACGUGCCUCUCCCCUCCGCCGCCGCCCAGUUUUCUGCUUCGCCCUGCCCCCAUCGCCGUGGCUGCCGCCGUCGCCCAUCCUUGCUCGUCGUGGCCGCCCGGUUGCCGUCGAGCUCGCCGCCGCCUCGCCGGACCUCCGGUCGAUUCCGGCCGCCUAGAGGACAUACAGACGUGUUUUCUGAAUGAGUUUGACCCUCUCCCGCUCAGGGACCCAUUUCGAGGUGAAGCUGAAGUGAAGUGCAAUUGGGGCACCACCACAUGGUCAGAUCUGUAUUAUGCCAGCAGUUUGGAUUCAAGCUGUGCAAGGAGGACAUCUUUGCUUUCUAUUCUACUUCUACUCUUGUAGCAUGUUCACAGAUGUUCACAGAUUGUGGCCUGAAUGUAUAUGAUGGCUUUUUGGAGAUUGCUCAAAAAUGAAUGCACUUGAUAAUUGUACCAAAAAAUUGGCCUAAAUGUAUUUGGGUUUUAUUUCAACGACUCUUGCGUUGUAAUGAAUAAUAAUGCUACUGUUUGGAUUUGUCAAGGUUUAUGGAAUUAUUACUGUGUUUCACUGCUA